This 785-nucleotide long non-coding RNA is filed under the name Homo sapiens (human). Its description in RNAcentral is "HSALNT0173804". Lineage: Eukaryota; Metazoa; Chordata; Mammalia; Primates; Hominidae. The record is from RNAcentral.
GCCCGCGGCGCCAGCGAUCCAAGUUUCCUCGGGCGCGAUGCCACGCGAGCGGUGGUCGGGGACAAAGCGGUUCCCUGGGCCGGCACUACGCGGCCCGCGGCUCACACCAGCGGGAUUCGAACCGCGGCCUGCCGUAGAUUAACUCGGGACCAGGCCGGGCGCGGUGGCUCACGCCUGUAAUCCCAGCACUUUGGGAGGCCAGGGCAGGUAGAGCACCUGAGGUCAGGAGUUCGAGAGCAGCCUGGCCUACAUGGCGAAACCCCUUCUCUACUAAAAAUACAAAAAUUAGCUGGGCUUGGUGACAGGCGCCUGUAAUCCCAGCUACUCGGGAGGCCGAGGCACAAGAAUCGCUUGAACUCAGGAGGCGGAGGUUGCAGUGAGCCGAGAUCCACCACUGCACUCCAGCCUGGGCGACACAGCGAGACUCCGUCUCAAAAAAAAAAAAAAAAAAAAAAGAAAUAGAAAAAGUCGGGAACCUGGCAAGCUGCCUAACUGCUCUGUGCGUCGGUGUCCUCACCUGUGAUGCGGGGACAAAGCUGAAGAAGCCAGCAACCUGAAAACACCAAUGGGCACAGACAGAAGAACCUGCUCGCUCCAGCCAGAGACGUAUGAGGACUUGUAGGUCUGAAGAUUUGAGUGGAUAAAAUUCCAUCAUAAAAAUAAGGUAAGCUGCUUCCAGUAGGUGGGAAUGUUAAUGAAACUGGACCUACUUGGCACUGGAGUAAGAACAUCUACGGUCAUACCUGCUUCUCAUGCAGACCACAGGGUCAAGUCAGUUAUCUUCC